UUUUAAACCUAUCGAUGUAUCUACAUAUCGAAUACCAGCUAACGCAUAAAAAUACUUUAAAAUCUUCACGCCAAAGAAAAAUGCGCUGCUGGUGGGAAACGCACAUAGUAAAACUGGGACCGUUCCGCGGAAUAAAGCUUUGGGGCCUUCUUUAGCCAAUAGCUCUCUGAAAACGCUUCGACCUUAAAGAUCAUCUUUGUUGUGUCCAAGGGAUGCCCGACGAGCACAUUGCACAUACCAUCCACGCGAUCACGGGAUUCGAUUUAUGUCCCGUGGCGAUCUCCACCUCCUCUAUGGCGUUAUUUAAACUAUCUUUUGUUUCGCCAGCAUCCCAAAAAACCCGGAUCGGUGGUUCACAAAAUAAUCUCGUGCAUGGGUUAUCUGCUGACUAUUUGGUUUUUGAGACAUGAUUACGCUUUAUGAUCCUAAACAGCCGGGGAGUACGACUUUCAUAAUAGACGGUGCUCUAAUUUGAUUCAACAAUUUUUACUAAAAAUAAAUAUUACCUCCUCGGCCUUUAUUCCCGAGUCCAAUAA
Molecule: non-coding RNA, 536 nt
Organism: Drosophila suzukii
Lineage: Eukaryota; Metazoa; Arthropoda; Insecta; Diptera; Drosophilidae
Source: RefSeq, a predicted model, not a curated record